CCUCUCAACUGUUUCUCACAGGUUUGUUCAGCUGGGACAAAGUCAACACAAGCAAGAUAAGAGCAGCCAGCAAUUUUGUUCCAAACAUCAGUUGGAUAGGGUUAUAAAUUUAAUACCGAUCUCCUCCUUUUCUCAAGAUAAUAUUUAUGAAGUCCAGCCUCCGAGAGUUGAUAGGAAAUCAAUAGAAAUUUUUCAUGCACACAUUCAGGCUGGAAAAGGAAACAUGCAGCCCUUGGGAAAAGAUGACUUCCUCAUGUACAGAGAGUACAUUCGAAACAGAUACCUCUAAAUACAAGCUGGAUUCUCACGUCGAGUCUACAGUAGUGAUUGCUUGUGAAAAUAAUUUUAGAAAGGAGCUCCAGUUUUGUUAUUUUGUAAUAAUAAAGUUAUUUUCUUAAAUUUAUUAUCUUAUUGGUUUGCUGUUACACAUUUAUAGUAUUGUGCUUUAUAUGAAAAACAGUGAUUUAAUACUUUUCUUCAGCUGAAAGAGAAACAUCUGUCUUAAGACAUUAAGUGAAUAAUCAGAGUACUUGUAGUUGCUGGAAAGUAUAUAGUGAUUUAUGGCAGAGAAAUUACAUUUUUAGGGUUUUAUCCUAAUUUCUUACAUUCUUAUAUUUGCUAAUGAAGUUGAAGUGAUUUGUACAUACAAAGAGAAUGUUUUCUUCCUCUCUUCCAUUACAGGAAACAACCCAACCAAGCGUUUUCUGAUGUUUCUUGAGAUUUUUAGCAAAAUGAGUGCUUGUACUUUGCUGCUUUCUUAAACAAAAGAAAAAAUUAUGUCAAAAUCGAAAUUUGCCUGUAGACUAAUAAGUCUGCUUAUGUCAAAACUAACCUUUCCAAUGCUAGUGGCUACAGAAUCCAUGCUAUAGAGAGGGUGAAAACGGCUUGUGACGAAUUAUUGUGGGCUUCUAGUAGGACUCUGAGGUGAGCCUCAGUGACUACAUCAUAAAUGAGGGAGCACUAUUUGGACUUUGGUGGGAGAUCCAAGAGCACCCUGUCACUUUACUGUAUGACAGGUGUCACCCCCCUUUGCACCAGAUUUUUUCCCCGUAUGUGUGCUUCUGUAAGGUGCUUUCAGGUUCAAACCUACAACCUUCCCCAGGAAACCAGUAAGUGGUGUAUAGAGCCUGGAUUAGCUGAGAUGGUCAGACACAGCGGGUGGGUUUAGGCAACAUCAUGUCCAGCACUAGGUAGGAAUGAAGAGAAGCAGGUAUCUGAAGUAGGCUGUUUGAUUUGGCCUUGUGAUCAAAAUGUUUCUCAAAUAGGAAAAAUAAAAUUUAAAAACCCUAUGAUUUGUAAUUACAAGCUAAAAUUCCCAACACUGUUUUCUCGUCUUCUGUCUUGAAGAACACUGACAGCAACAGCAGCAUCCUUGACAGAUGAUGUUAUUCCACGUGCUUUUACAAUCUGUAUGUCAGGAUUUUCUGGAAUAACUCCAAAUAACUUAUCUUGGGAAUGUCAGCCAACUGCAUGUACUAGAUGUAGAGAACAUGUUUGUGUUUGUAGUUAAUUGCUUGCAGGCCGCUGCCCCAGAUUUUUGGCUGCAUGCUGCAAGCAUAUUUCGCAUAUGUUUGCAUAUCUCCUGCAGUAAGUAGCACUUCUGUCAGUAAUUUGACAAAAGAAGAGAUACACUGGAUAAAGGGAAAAGACUUAGGUUGCUUGUGCAGCCUGUGUAUUUCACUGUGUGGACAGUGGGAGAAUGUGGUACCUUAGGCUACCAAAAGAUGACUGUGUCCAUUUCCAUUCACUGUUGUUAAUUGAUUAGUAUCACCAAGACAAGUCCAAUUGUACCAAAGAUUCCAGAGAUGCUGCCUGUAAGUCUGCCUACUUUAUUCUGUUCUUGUGAUAAUAAGAUUCAGUUCUCAGCCAUGUUAACAGUUCUCAAGAGAUGCAUGUUUCUCUUUCAUAAACUGAGGAAAGUAUGUGUAAAAUUAGUAUAAAUACAAAAGGAAUGGACUGUAUUGGCUGUGAAGAGUAACAUGGUCUCUUCUGACUUUAUUUAGUAAUGAUCUAAUUUAAUAUUAUGCUAUAUGGACAGAUACCACAUUUCUCAGAUACGUAUAUUUUUUUUUCACCUAAAAUUUUGCUUGCUUCAGUGUUUCUGAAGGGUACAUUGAAAUAAAAUACCAAGAUGUUCACACAGA
Molecule: non-coding RNA, 2144 nt
Organism: Meleagris gallopavo (turkey)
Lineage: Eukaryota; Metazoa; Chordata; Aves; Galliformes; Phasianidae
Source: RefSeq, a predicted model, not a curated record